RNAcentral lists this unclassified non-coding RNA (348 nucleotides) under soil metagenome. RNAcentral describes it as "partial contains 5.8S ribosomal RNA, internal transcribed spacer 2, and large subunit ribosomal RNA". The stretch from base 1 to 120 matches the Rfam family "5.8S ribosomal RNA", at positions 35 to 154 of the family's 154-position model. The record is from RNAcentral.
GAUGAAGAACGCAGCGAAAUGCGAUAAGUAAUGUGAAUUGCAGAAUUCAGUGAAUCAUCGAAUCUUUGAACGCGCAUUGCGCCCGCCAGUAUUCUGGCGGGCAUGCCUGUCCGAGCGUCAUUUCAACCCUCGAACCCCUCCGGGGGGUCGGCGUUGGGGAUCGGCACUUACCUGCCGGCCCCGAAAUACAGUGGCGGUCUCGCCGCAGCCUCUCCUGCGCAGUAGUUUGCACACUCGCACCGGGAGCGCGGCGCGUCCACGGCCGUAAAACAACCCAAACUUCUGAAAUGUUGACCUCGGAUCAGGUAGGAAUACCCGCUGAACUUAAGCAUAUCAAUAAGCGGAGGA